Molecule: long non-coding RNA, 1278 nt
Filed under: Homo sapiens (human)
Lineage: Eukaryota; Metazoa; Chordata; Mammalia; Primates; Hominidae
Description: non-protein coding lnc-STOX2-1:2
Source: RNAcentral
UUCCUCAAAUAUGUGAGGGGAAGGGAGCGGUGACUUCCUAAAGGAAAGUAUUUAUAUUUUUAGACUGAAAUAGGCUGUUACAAAGCUUUUCUCCAAAAACACAUUUAAAAAAGGAGUGUUCUAAACAAUAGAAAAUGUAUCUUAACGCAUAGUUAAGGAGCACCAAGAAAAUGCUUCUGGAUGUUGGAAUGUCAGCCUCGACUCCGCUUCUUUCUGAACUCGCUUGUUCUGCUUCGGGCUCCCAUGUCAGCAGUGUCGUGGAGAGCUCGUCCGUGUGAAGGGACAGCAUCCCGGCCAGGCCAUGGAUGGUGGCCCGGGAGGAGGAAGUGUGAGCGGGUCAAGAGAGAGAGAAGGCAUGAGAGAGGCACUCUGCUCGGAUGACACAGCCCACACUGUUUUGCCACAGAUUUGUGGUGUAUCACAGCUCGAGGGAGUCCUGGAGGCCACCCAGGCCAGGGUUUCUCAUGUUGUUGACCAUGUGCACCAGGAGGUGAGGCCUGGGAAUCCACCUACUUAGUGGCUCAGGAGAGCUGGCCCAAUAACCAGCUGGUACAGAGGCCUCAUUUCAUCGAGGAGCAGUCUGGACUGGAGAGGCCACAGGACUCGGAACAGCACCAGAUUGAAAGCAGAGCCCAUUUGAGACGUGGCUUAAAGAGGGACACCAUGCUGUCCAAACGUGGGUGUAGACAGAGCAGACACAGCCUCUUUUAUCUGCUUAUUGUGGCUCUGGGAAGACAGCUCCCCAACCCCUCCAUUCCUCUCUCAUUUGUUCAUCUUGAAACCCAUUAAGAGGGCACAAAACCUUUAUGUCACAGUGGGAGAUAAUAUGUGAAUGAUUCUUAGAAAGGUAAGAGGUAUAGGCUGGGCGCGGUGGCUCACGCCUGGAAUCCCAGCACUUUAGGAGGCCAAGGUGGGCGGAUCAUGAGGUCAGGAGAUCGAGACCAUCCUGGCUAACACGGUGAAACCCCGUCUCUACUACAAAUACAAAAAAAUUAGCCGGGCAUGGUGGCGGGCGCCUGUAGUCCCAGCUACUCGGGAGGCUGAGGCUGGAGAAUGGAGUGAACCCGGGAGGCGGAGCUUGCAGUGAGCCGAGAUUGCGCCACUGCACUCCAGCCUGGGCAACAGAGCGAAACUCCGUCUCAAAAAAAAAAAAAAAAAAAGAAAGAAAAAAAAGAAAGGUAAGAGGUAUAAAAUAUCCCCCAAGCUAAGGAGGCGCUGUAAUAGGCAGCUCUCCACUUUUGAGAAGAUUAGCUAUUGGAGGAAGAGGUGGCAUGAAAC